AGCAUUAAAGUUUGCUUGCAAACUUUAGAUGGCGACCGGCGCACGGGUGAGUAACACGUAUCCAACCUGCCGAUAACUCGGGGAUAGCCUUUCGAAAGAAAGAUUAAUACCCGAUGGUAUAUUUUCACCGCAUGGUGAAACUAUUAAAGAAUUUCGGUUAUCGAUGGGGAUGCGUUCCAUUAGGCAGUUGGUGAGGUAACGGCUCACCAAACCUUCGAUGGAUAGGGGUUCUGAGAGGAAGGUCCCCCACAUUGGAACUGAGACACGGUCCAAACUCCUACGGGAGGCAGCAGUGAGGAAUAUUGGUCAAUGGGCGCGAGCCUGAACCAGCCAAGUAGCGUGAAGGAUGACGGCCCUAUGGGUUGUAAACUUCUUUUAUAUGGGAAUAAAGUUUGGUAUGCAUACCAUUUUGUAUGUACCAUAUGAAUAAGGAUCGGCUAACUCCGUG
Molecule: ribosomal RNA, 448 nt
Filed under: uncultured Bacteroidales bacterium
Lineage: Bacteria; Pseudomonadati; Bacteroidota; Bacteroidia; Bacteroidales
Description: bacterial SSU rRNA
Rfam family: Bacterial small subunit ribosomal RNA
Source: RNAcentral